Molecule: ribosomal RNA, 442 nt
Filed under: uncultured bacterium
Lineage: Bacteria
Description: partial 16S ribosomal RNA
Rfam family: Bacterial small subunit ribosomal RNA
Source: RNAcentral
CCUACGGGGUGCAGCAGUGGGGAAUAUUGGGCAAUGGGCGCAAGCCUGACCCAGCAAUGCCGCGUGAAGGAAGAAGGCUUUCGGGUUGUAAACUUCUUUGACAGGGGAAGAGCAGAAGCCGGUACCCUGAAAACAAGCCACGGCUAACUACGUGCCAGCAGCCGCGGUAAUACGUAGGUGGCAAGCGUUGUCCGGAUUUACUGGGUGUAAAGGGCGUGUAGCCGGGAAGGCAAGUCAGAUGUGAAAUCUGGAGGCUCAACCUCCAAAUUGCAUUUGAAACUGUUUUUCUUGAGUACUGGAGAGGCAGACGGAAUUCCUUGUGUAGCGGUGAAAUGCGUAGAUAGAAGGAGGAACACCAGUGGCGAAGGCGGUCUGCUGGACAGCAACUGACGGUGAGGCGCGAAAGCGUGGGGAGCAAACAGGAUUAGAUACCCGGGUAGUC